RNAcentral lists this unclassified non-coding RNA (208 nucleotides) under uncultured Tuber. RNAcentral's name for it is "sequence contains ITS2". Lineage: Eukaryota; Fungi; Ascomycota; Pezizomycetes; Pezizales; Tuberaceae. The record is from RNAcentral.
CGCACCUUAUCACACUAUUUGUGGUGUUGGCAGGAGUGAAUUGUUAGCCUAUGAAUAUGAAAAUAUUGUAGCUGUUCACUACGCUAAAAGCUAUGGGAAGGUUACCAGGUAUGAACAACGGACUUUGUAAAUGGUUGUAAGACCUGUAUCAGUCACAAGUCAUGUCUGGUCCUUGGACCUUAAGGACCCCUAUCCUAGACGAACAAUG